AUCCCUCUCUCUCGAACACAAAUGCUACUAUUUCGAUUUUUGAAAUCUAUAACGGUCAUAAGGCCGUCAAUCGACUGAAUCAUCUCUCUUGCUUCUUUGUGUUCUUGUUCUACUUUGAAAAUUUUUAGAUUCAAUUCUCUUGGUGAUUACGACUGGUUUUUCUUUACAAUCGCUGAUCCAAUUAUUUGUUUUGCAGGAAUUGUUAUUUUGGAUCUAUAGGCUCUCCGACUCUUUGUUUUGCAGAUUUUUUUUUUCCUUUCCUUUGGAUCUCUCGCUUUCUGCUAUAUUUUCCCUUUUUGUGCUAACGUCAUGGAUGCAGGAUCUUUCGCCCCUUCUAACAAGAGCCAAUCUCGAAACCCUUUUCAAGAACAGGUUGUCCAGAGAAGAAGCUCCCGUGAAAAUUUGGACAGAUUCAUUCCAAACCGUUCGGCAAUGGAUUUCGACUUCGCUCGUUACAUGUUGACAGAUGGUAGAAUCGAGAAAGAACCCACGGGAUUGAUCUCUCCAUCAAGAGAAGCUUAUAGGAAGCAAUUAAAGGAGAUCUUCAAUAUGAACAGAACUCGGAUUCUUGCAUUCAAGAACAAGCCACCUUCCCCAGUUAAAGGGCUUUUAUCAGAAUCCAUCUCAUCUGUUCAACAAUCGAAACCUGUAAAGCCGAGGAGACAUAUUUCCCAAUCUUCAGAGAGAACAUUAGAUGCCCCUGAACUUGUAGAUGAUUACUACUUGAAUCUGCUUGACUGGGGUAGUGCCAAUGUCCUGGCGAUUGCCCUUGGGAACACUGUCUACUUAUGGAAUGCUUCUGAUGGAUCUACAUCUGAACUGGUUACAAUUGAUGACGAGAAUGGUCCUGUCACCAGUGUCCGCUGGGCUCCCGAUGGAAGACACAUUGCUGUUGGCUUGAACAAUUCUGAGAUACAGUUAUGGGAUUCUUCCUCAGAUCGACAGUUGAGAACGUUGCGAGGAGGGCACCUGUCUCGUGUGGGAUCUCUUGAUUGGAACAAUCACAUUCUGACCACCGGAGGAAUGGAUGGUCUUAUUAUCAACAAUGAUGUACGAGUGAGAAACCAAAUUGUUGAAACUUACAGGGGACACCACCAGGAGGUCUGCGGGCUAAAAUGGUCAGCUUCUGGGCAGCAACUAGCCAGUGGAGGCAAUGACAAUCUUCUGCACAUAUGGGACCGGGGAAUGGCCUCUUCGAAUUCUCCAACUCAAUGGCUUCACAGGUUGGAAGACCACACAGCAGCUGUGAAGGCUCUGGCCUGGUGUCCUUUCCAGAGCAAUUUGCUCACCUCUGGUGGGGGUGGAGAAGAUCAAUGCAUAAAAUUCUGGAAUACGCAUACUGGUGCAUGCUUGAACUCAGUGAAUACAGGGUCUCAGGUCUGUUCCUUGCUGUGGAGCAAGAAUGAGCGAGAGCUUCUGAGCUCUCAUGGGUUCACUCAAAAUCAGCUAACCCUUUGGAAGUACCCAUCUAUGGUUAAACUUGCUGAGCUCACAGGACAUACUUCUAGAGUUCUGUUCAUGGCACAGAGCCCAGAUGGCUGCACAGUAGCAUCUGCAGCUGCUGAUGAAACGCUUAGAUUUUGGAAUGUAUUUGGGGCUCCUGAAGCUGCGAAGCCUGCCCCCAAAACAAACCAGGAGCCAUUUUCUAACAUAACCCGCAUUAGAUGAAGGAUGGCAGCUUUUCCCCCUUUCAAUGUUUAAGGUACACUGAAAGAAUAAUUACAACAAAAACAACAGGAUGGCAGCUUCCCCCUUUCAAGUUCAACAGAUGGAAGCUUCCUUUCCCCUUUCAAGUUCAGUGGCUUAUUCUGAUUGCAUUCUCUGCAAUCAGGUAGAUAUUAUUGAAGAGAGAGAUGAAUAUGAGGGUCAAGGUAUAUUGGCUACAGAGUGACAGGAGAUGAGAGAGAAAGGAAGGUGAGAGAAGGAGCACGAAAGCUUUUCAAACAUGGGAGUAGUAGUUUUCCAGAUUCCAGAUUCCUUACGAACUUUGUAUACACUUAGGCACCUUGUCACCUAAGCGCUUAGGCAGCCCUUGGUUCUCCCUGGCGCCUUGACAAAUAUGGAUGGGAGAGCAAGGCCCGUGUCAUCACUGUGGGAUUGAUUACCAAAUUGUCUGUCAGGGACAGAACCCAAGGAGGAUCAUUAUCGUCGUCAUCUUCACCCAGAAAUUCUAAGAACCAGGCCCUAACAGAAGUACCAUUAGUCCAUGCGACAGCAGCAUUAGUAAAACUGCGUCAAGGGAGCAUCUACCAACCAUUUUUAAGGGAGAGAAUAGUUUCCCUGGGGUCCUCAAAAGCUGGUUACGUGGUAGCUUGACAGCAUGAAAAAAAUUGGAGAAAAAUUACUUAUUGAUUGGCGGAAAUGAUGCUGUGCUUCUUUUUCUUUCCCGUUUUUUUUGGGGAUAAGAAUCAAUGAUAUGAUUCUAUUCAUGAGAAGUCUGUACAUGAUCAUUGGAUGAUUUAGUGGUUCUUCCCAUAAAGUUUGUUUGUCAAGUCCAAAGACAAGUCAUUAUAGUAUAAUCCAGUUAACUAUAGUGAAUUGUUGGACUUCAUUACAGAAUGUCUGAAUCAAGAUACACAUGUAUGCUUCCGAAGUGAGUAGUUGAAGAACAAAUCCAGUUGGGAGGGCGACUCCAUAUGUUAAUGAAUCUGUUAGUGUUAACGUCAACCCCUUCAACAGAGAUCUGCCUCCUAAAUUUAUCACGUGGUUGGCAGCAAGGAACCUUUCAAGUAAUGAUGGUAUAAUACGUGCCAAAGAAGGGUACAUCAAGGAAGGAAAGAGUGUCGGUGCAAUGGGUGUCAUUCAGAGGUAUGAUAAUGUGCUCGUGAUUGUUCCUUCUUUUGAACCUUUUCUACAGGAUACCACUGGAAAUAAUUGUAUCAUUCCAGGACAUCUUGAGGGUACUGCCCAGAGAUGCGGAGUUACAUAAAAAAUUGAUGUCACUCCAGUAAAGUUUCUAGGGAGGGGGCUGGAUGCAAAUUUUUAAAAAUAUAUAGUUGGUGCUGGUGUUGAUGUCUCCAGGAAGAUUGUUUAAUUGAUUUUGAGGUUUACUUCACUCCUACAUUUUGUUUGUGUGGUUAAAGCUGUGCAGCUGCAUAAAGCAUUGGUUAAAGAGCUUUUAGCAAACACUAAUACUUAUUCAAGUUUUCUGUAAAGUGCAUAGAACUUGGAAUGUUGCUAAGUUCAUUAUUGAAAUGGUAUGAAACAAUUUUUCUUCA
Macadamia integrifolia is the source of this 3218-nucleotide RNA transcript. It is a transcript of the gene named cell division cycle 20.1, cofactor of APC complex-like, with no coding region annotated. Lineage: Eukaryota; Viridiplantae; Streptophyta; Magnoliopsida; Proteales; Proteaceae. The transcript is spliced from 10 exons. The record is from RefSeq and is a predicted model, not a curated record.